Molecule: ribosomal RNA, 240 nt
Filed under: uncultured bacterium
Lineage: Bacteria
Description: partial 16S ribosomal RNA
Rfam family: Bacterial small subunit ribosomal RNA
Source: RNAcentral
UAGUGAGUUUGAUCCUGGCUCAGGGUGAACGCUGGCGGCGUGCCUAAGACAUGCGAGUCGAACGCAAGUAGAAAUACUUGAGUGGCGGACGGGUGAGUAACGCGUGAGAAUCUGCCUUCUGGUCGGGGACAACAGUUAAGAAAUGACUGCUAAUACCGGAUGUGCCGAAAAGGUGAAAGAUUAAUUGCCAGAAAGAAGAGCUCGCGUCUGAUUAGCUAGUUGGAGAGGUAAAGGCUCACC